This 91-nucleotide transfer RNA is filed under the name Actinomycetota bacterium. RNAcentral's name for it is "Actinobacteria bacterium (soil metagenome) tRNA-Ser". It matches the Rfam family "tRNA". From Rfam's summary of the family: Transfer RNA (tRNA) molecules are approximately 80 nucleotides in length. Their secondary structure includes four short double-helical elements and three loops (D, anti-codon, and T loops). Further hydrogen bonds mediate the characteristic L-shaped molecular structure. tRNAs have two regions of fundamental functional importance: the anti-codon, which is responsible for specific mRNA codon recognition, and the 3' end, to which the tRNAs corresponding amino acid is attached (by aminoacyl-tRNA synthetases). tRNAs cope with the degeneracy of the genetic code in two manners: having more than one tRNA (with a specific anti-codon) for a particular amino acid; and 'wobble' base-pairing, i.e. permitting non-standard base-pairing at the 3rd anti-codon position. Lineage: Bacteria; Bacillati; Actinomycetota. The record is from RNAcentral.
GGAGGGAUGCCCGAGCGGCCGAAGGGGCACGCCUGGAAAGCGUGUAGGCGGGUUAACUGUCUCCGGGGUUCAAAUCCCCGUCCCUCCGCCA